Molecule: ribosomal RNA, 409 nt
Filed under: uncultured bacterium
Lineage: Bacteria
Description: bacterial SSU rRNA
Rfam family: Bacterial small subunit ribosomal RNA
Source: RNAcentral
GACGAACGCUGGCGGCGUGCUUAACACAUGCAAGUCGAACGAAAGGACGGGAAGAGCUUGCUCUUUCCGGAAUUGAGUGGCAAACGGGUGAGUAACACGUAAACAACCUGCCUUCAGGAUGGGGACAACAGACGGAAACGACUGCUAAUACCGAAUAAGUUCCAAGAGCCGCAUGGCCCAUGGAAGAAAAGGUGGCCUCUACCUGUAAGCUAUCGCCUGAAGAGGGGUUUGCGUCUGAUUAGCUGGUUGGAGGGGUAACGGCCCACCAAGGCGACGAUCAGUAGCCGGUCUGAGAGGAAUGAACGGCCACACUGGAACUGAGACACGGUCCAGACUCCUACGGGAGGCAGCAGUGGGGGAAUCUUCCGGCAAUGGGCGAAAGCCUGACGGAGCAACGCCGCGUGAGUGA